RNAcentral lists this ribosomal RNA (661 nucleotides) under uncultured bacterium. RNAcentral describes it as "bacterial SSU rRNA". It matches the Rfam family "Bacterial small subunit ribosomal RNA", at positions 94 to 788 of the family's 1533-position model. The record is from RNAcentral.
AGUGGCGGACGGGUGAGUAACGCGUGAGAAUCUGCCUUGGGGUCGGGGACAACCACUGGAAACGGUGGCUAAUACCGGAUAAGCCGAUUGGUGAAAGAUUUAUUGCCUGGAGAUGAGCUCGCGUCUGAUUAGCUAGUUGGUAAGGUAAAAGCUUACCAAGGCAACGAUCAGUAGCUGGUCUGAGAGGAUGAGCAGCCACACUGGGACUGAGACACGGCCCAGACUCCUACGGGAGGCAGCAGUGGGGAAUUUUCCGCAAUGGGCGAAAGCCUGACGGAGCAAGACCGCGUGGGGGAGGAAGGCUCUAGGGUUGUAAACCCCUUUUCUUUGGGAAGAACAAAAUGACGGUACCAAAGGAAUCAGCCUCGGCUAACUCCGUGCCAGCAGCCGCGGUAAUACGGAGGAGGCAAGCGUUAUCCGGAAUGAUUGGGCGUAAAGCGUCCGCAGGUGGCAAUGUAAGUCUGCUGUCAAAACCCAGGGCUCAACUCUGGUCAGGCAGUGGAAACUACAUAGCUAGAGUUCGGUAGGGGCAAAGGGAAUUCCCGGUGUAGCGGUGAAAUGCGUAGAGAUCGGGAAGAACAUCGGUGGCGAAAGCGCUUUGCUAGACCGAAACUGACACUCAGGGACGAAAGCUAGGGGAGCGAAUGGGAUUAGAUACCCC